CUUGGUCACGUACGUACGUACUUCGUCAUGUUCGUACGUACUAGGUCAUAUGUACUGGUGAUCUUCGUACGUACGUGGUCAUAGGUACUUGGUCGUGUGUACAUACGUACUUGGUCAUGUUCGUACGUACUAGGUCUUAGGUACUUCGUCAUGCGUACAUACGCUAGUCACGUUCGUACGUACUAGGUGUUACGUAUCGUGUGUACAUACGUACUUGGUCAUGUUCGUACGUAUGGUCGACCUCGACCUACAAGGAGCAGCAAAGGAAGUUGUAAAAGUCGUAGUUGAGGCCACAGCUGACGUAGUUCAAGUUGUAAGUUCAGUUACGGUUCGUACGGUACGGCAGCAGCAGCGGCGGCGGUGGCGGCCUAAGGUACAAGUUCAAUUAUGGUUAUAGCUGUACUUGCCUUCAACCGGCUCCGGCCGCAGUGGCUCACCUCCAACCGAUCGGACGGUGGAUUACCAACCACUAGAAGGUUACUCAGGGUUGGAGCAAGCAGCGCGGUCGGUACUGGCGCAGGUACUGACCGCAGAGGCGUAGGUGCCGACCGCGGGCAGGUGCCGGCCACAGAGGCGCCGGUCGUGGAUGCGUAGGUGCCGGCCGCAGAGACGCCGGCCGCGGAGACGCCGGUGCCGGUACUGGCGCAGGUGCCGGUCCGAGUCGAAGUCGUAUGUGUACGAGUACUCCAAGUAGGAUACCAUU
RNAcentral lists this ribosomal RNA (703 nucleotides) under Triticum aestivum (bread wheat). Its description in RNAcentral is "partial small subunit ribosomal RNA". The record is from RNAcentral. Lineage: Eukaryota; Viridiplantae; Streptophyta; Magnoliopsida; Poales; Poaceae.